AUUUUAAUCAGUACUACGUAAUUUGGAACAAGGUACCCUUAUUUUUUGAUUCCUGGCUCAGAUUGAACGCUGGCGGCAGGCUUAACACAUGCAAGUCGAGCGGAGUGAUGGUGCUUGCACUAUCACUUAGCGGCGGACGGGUGAGUAAUGCUUAGGAAUCUGCCUAUUAGUGGGGGACAACAUCUCGAAAGGGAUGCUAAUACCGCAUACGUCCUACGGGAGAAAGCAGGGGAUCACUUGUGACCUUGCGCUAAUAGAUGAGCCUAAGUCGGAUUAGCUAGUUGGUGGGGUAAAGGCCUACCAAGGCGACGAUCUGUAGCGGGUCUGAGAGGAUGAUCCGCCACACUGGGACUGAGACACGGCCCAGACUCCUACGGGAGGCAGCAGUGGGGAAUAUUGGACAAUGGGGGGAACCCUGAUCCAGCCAUGCCGCGUGUGUGAAGAAGGCCUUAUGGUUGUAAAGCACUUUAAGCGAGGAGGAGGCUCUUUUGGUUAAUACCCAGAAUGAGUGGACGUUACUCGCAGAAUAAGCACCGGCUAACUCUGUGCCAGCAGCCGCGGUAAUACAGAGGGUGCAAGCGUUAAUCGGAUUUACUGGGCGUAAAGCGCGCGUAGGCGGCCAAUUAAGUCAAAUGUGAAAUCCCCGAGCUUAACUUGGGAAUUGCAUUCGAUACUGGUUGGCUAGAGUGUGGGAGAGGAUGGUAGAAUUCCAGGUGUAGCGGUGAAAUGCGUAGAGAUCUGGAGGAAUACCGAUGGCGAAGGCAGCCAUCUGGCCUAACACUGACGCUGAGGUGCGAAAGCAUGGGGAGCAAACAGGAUUAGAUACCCUGGUAGUCCAUGCCGUAAACGAUGUCUACUAGCCGUUGGGGCCUUUGAGGCUUUAGUGGCGCAGCUAACGCGAUAAGUAGACCGCCUGGAGUACGCAUUAAUU
This 931-nucleotide ribosomal RNA is filed under the name Acinetobacter sp. Its description in RNAcentral is "bacterial SSU rRNA". It matches the Rfam family "Bacterial small subunit ribosomal RNA", at positions 1 to 893 of the family's 1533-position model. The record is from RNAcentral. Lineage: Bacteria; Pseudomonadati; Pseudomonadota; Gammaproteobacteria; Moraxellales; Moraxellaceae.